CUUUCCCUACACUACGAUCUUCCGAGAGUGGGGCGAGAGGCCGAGAAUUUACCACGGCUUCGAUUUGUGUCAAAACCGUAGUGAGCUGCUCGUAAGUCAUCAGAUGCUCUCCGAUAGUUCUAGUGAGAUGGAAUUUGAUAGACUUGACGGCAGCUUCGCAUUUACCUCCAAAGUGCGGAGCUCCAGGCGGAUUGAACUUCCAGGUUGUGCCAUCUGUAGCCAGUAGAUGUGAAAGUUCUCCCAGUGAUCUUGAUCCUGAUGCGAAUUCAGCCCUUAGAGUUGCAUCUGCACCCACAAAGUUUGUACCACAGUCCGAAUAUAUGGUGUGGCAGAUGCCCCGGCGACUUGCGAACCUCCGAUACGCUGCGAUGAAUGCGCCUGUAGAGUAGUCCGUAACAAGUUCCAGAUGUAUAGCGGAAGUCGUGAAGCACACGAAAACUGCAAUCCACCCCUUGUAAGUUUUCGCUCCACGACCCUGGAAAGUUUUCAGAGUGACUGGCCCAGCGUAGUCUAAACCAGUAUGUAGAAACGCCCGGGCGGGAGUCACUCUAGAGGGGGGCAGUUGUCCCAUCAAUUGCUGUGCUCGAACACCUCGGUGUCUAGCACAGACUACGCAGCGUAAGAUGUGAGAUCUGACUGGUACGCGGCCACCAAUAAUCCAGUAGGAUUGGCGUAACGCAGCCGGAGUCAAUUGCGUUCCCCCGUGAAAGUUCCGUUUGUGGGCAUGAUCGAUGAGGAGUGA
This 742-nucleotide long non-coding RNA is filed under the name Neodiprion lecontei (redheaded pine sawfly). RNAcentral's name for it is "uncharacterized LOC124294702". Lineage: Eukaryota; Metazoa; Arthropoda; Insecta; Hymenoptera; Diprionidae. The record is from RNAcentral.